UGGGGAAUCUUGGACAAUGGGCGCAAGCCUGAUCCAGCCAUGCCGCGUGGAUGAUGAAGGCCUUAGGGUUGUAAAAUCCUUUCGUUGGGGACGAUAAUGACGGUACCCAAAGAAGAAGCUCCGGCUAACUUCGUGCCAGCAGCCGCGGUAAUACGAAGGGGGCUAGCGUUGUUCGGAUUUACUGGGCGUAAAGCGCGUGUAGGCGGGUCGUUAAGUUGGGGGUGAAAUCCCGAGGCUCAACCUCGGAACUGCCUUCAAAACUGGCGACCUGGACUCAAGCAGAGGCAAGUGGAAUUGCGAGUGUAGAGGUGAAAUUCGUAGAUAUUAGGAAGAACACCAGUGGCGAAGGCGGCCAACUGGCUCGAUACUGACGCUGAGGUGCGAAAGCGUGGGGAGCAAACAGGAUUAGAUACCCCCGUAGUCCCUGAGCGGGCUGGCAAGGCGCAU
Molecule: ribosomal RNA, 447 nt
Filed under: uncultured bacterium
Lineage: Bacteria
Description: bacterial SSU rRNA
Rfam family: Bacterial small subunit ribosomal RNA
Source: RNAcentral